This is a non-coding RNA of Biomphalaria glabrata, 61 nucleotides long. The record is from Rfam. Lineage: Eukaryota; Metazoa; Mollusca; Gastropoda; Planorbidae.
GUCUUUGGUUAUCUAGCUGUAUGAUUGUAGAACAAAUUCAUAAAGCUAGGUUACCAAAGGC